This 921-nucleotide ribosomal RNA is filed under the name Echinorhynchus truttae. RNAcentral describes it as "large rRNA". The stretch from base 617 to 921 matches the Rfam family "Bacterial large subunit ribosomal RNA", at positions 2049 to 2715 of the family's 2925-position model. Lineage: Eukaryota; Metazoa; Acanthocephala; Palaeacanthocephala; Echinorhynchida; Echinorhynchidae. The record is from RNAcentral.
GUUUUGAUUGUGGGUUAUAUAUGUUAAAAAUUAAUGUGAAUAAGCUAGAGCGUUGUGAGAUAUAGGUGGGACUACCUUUGGUAUAAGGGGGCUAAGAUUUUGUGUGUAUUUGUAUACAACCCCAAACCCUAAGAUAUUUAUUAAAUAAGACUUAAGAAAUUGGGGCUUUAUUUUCUAAAGUUGUGAAAUGCAAGCGUUUAGGUUAUAUGUGGCGUAAGUCUGAGAGGAAAGCUUUCAGGUUGCAUCUUAUGCUUUUUUACCAUGUGAAUUAUUUAAAAUAUAAUAUUGUUAUAAUAAUUUGGGGUUUUAUAAAAUAUAAGGAGAAAAGAUGCAUGUAAGUCAAAGAAUAUUUUUGAUUUUAAGGAUUUAGCUAUUAGUAGUGUAUCUAUUAAAUGUGGUGUAUUUAAUGUAUCAACUAUUUGAACUCGAAAGUUUAGCAACUGUUUAUUAAAAACAUUUCUAGUUGUAUAAUUAGUAACCCCUGCCCGCUGAUUUGUUGAAGGGCCGCAGUAAGUUGACUGUGCUAAGGUAGCAUAAUAAUUAGGUCAUUAAUUGUGAUCUGGUAUGAAAGGGGGUUUGUCUAAGCUGUGGUGAUUGGUUGAAAAAGAAAUUGCUAGUUGGUGAAAAUGCCAACUAAUUGGUUAAAGACGGAAAGACCCCUGAAGCUUUACAAGGUGUUGUUUUGUUGGGGCAAUGAGUGAGAGUUAAAGUUUCAUUUAAUUAUAGUUACUCAGGGGAUAACAGGGUAAUCACCAUUAGUCCGGUGGUUUACUACCUCGAUGUUGGAUCAUCCUUAGAAUAGUCUGUUCGACUUUAGCAGGGUACGUGAUCUGAGUUUAGAUCGGCGUAAGCCAGAUCGGUUCUUAUCUUUAAAAGUCUUUUUGUAGUACGAAAGGGGGCAGAAGGUGUAAUAAUUAAUUU